AAACUUUCAACAACGGAUCUCUUGGUUCUGGCAUCGAUGAAGAACGUAGCGAAAUGCGAUAAGUAAUGUGAAUUGCAGAAUUCAGUGAAUCAUCGAAUCUUUGAACGCACAUUGCGCCCGCCAGUAUUCUGGCGGGCAUGCCUGUUCGAGCGUCAUUUC
Molecule: ribosomal RNA, 159 nt
Filed under: Hirsutella thompsonii
Lineage: Eukaryota; Fungi; Ascomycota; Sordariomycetes; Hypocreales; Ophiocordycipitaceae
Description: 5.8S ribosomal RNA
Rfam family: 5.8S ribosomal RNA
About the family: 5.8S ribosomal RNA (5.8S rRNA) is a component of the large subunit of the eukaryotic ribosome. It is transcribed by RNA polymerase I as part of the 45S precursor that also contains 18S and 28S rRNA.
Source: RNAcentral